This is a regulatory RNA element of Tetragenococcus muriaticus 3MR10-3, 123 nucleotides long. It matches the Rfam family "S10-Clostridia ribosomal protein leader". NCBI's taxonomy places the organism in Bacteria, Bacillati, Bacillota, Bacilli, Lactobacillales, Enterococcaceae. The record is from Rfam.
UGGUGGCUAGGAAACGAGAGGUUGCGACACGCCAGGCCGCUUUGCCAUGGCCGAGCCUGUCGGAAAAUUUUCGUGGAGCUAUGUCUACUUUUAAAAUAGGCGAAGGAGGGAAAAUAAUGGCAA